RNAcentral lists this long non-coding RNA (378 nucleotides) under Rattus norvegicus (Norway rat). RNAcentral describes it as "long non-coding RNA NONRATT000234". The record is from RNAcentral. Lineage: Eukaryota; Metazoa; Chordata; Mammalia; Rodentia; Muridae.
GUUCCAGGCUGAGCCCGGAUGCUGAUGGUGCUGCGUGGCCUGCGGGGCGUGGCGGAAAGUAAUCAGCAAAUAACCCAAGGAUCUUCCCGGGAAGGUGCACAGUCCUACCGAAGUGCCUUUAUUCUUCCGCUUCUCAUCCCCUCCACCGUCUUCACCGUCAUCUGAGUCUCCAUCACUAUCUAGUGCCGGGAGCUCUGGGUCCAGGGGCGGCUCAUACAGGGCUGUGUUUAAUGGCAAGUACCGAAGCUCAUCUGGUGAGUACCUAAAUUCAGAAAGGUUGCUUUCAUUUGCCCUUGAAUAUCAAGUGUGUACAAACUACCUUUAAGCUAUGAAAUUUGCUUUAUGCUUCUCACAUAUACUUCACACAAAUGGGCAGGG